CUGCCCUUCAGUGGGGAAUAACACGCCGAAAGGCGUGCUAAUGCCGCAUGUCACAGCGAGGCCUCCGGGUCACGUUGGAAAAGGGGACGCCCGCAAGGGGUUCUCGCUGGAGGAUGAGUCCGCGGCCCAUCAGCUUGUUGGCGGGGUAAUGGCCCACCAAGGCGAAGACGGGUAGCUGGUCUGAGAGGAUGAUCAGCCACACUGGGACUGAGACACGGCCCAG
RNAcentral lists this ribosomal RNA (223 nucleotides) under uncultured bacterium. Its description in RNAcentral is "partial 16S ribosomal RNA". It matches the Rfam family "Bacterial small subunit ribosomal RNA", at positions 126 to 334 of the family's 1533-position model. The record is from RNAcentral.